CCGGGAAUAGCUCAGUUGGAAGAGCGGAGGACUGUAAAAUUGAUCAGAUAUCCUUAGGUCGUGAGUUCAAGUCUCACUUCCCGGA
This is a non-coding RNA of Ramicandelaber brevisporus, 85 nucleotides long. The record is from the annotation of a GenBank genome assembly. NCBI's taxonomy places the organism in Eukaryota, Fungi, Kickxellomycota, Ramicandelaberales, Ramicandelaberaceae.